GCUGGCGGCACGCCUAACACAUGCAAGUCGAACGCAGUAGCAAUACUGAGUGGCAAACGGGUGAGUAUAAUGUGGGAAUCUGCCUUUUGGUUUGGAAUAACACGGGGAAACUUGUGCUAAUACCGAAUAAGCCCUUACGGGGAAAGUUUUAACGCCGAAAGAUGAGCCCGCACUUGAUUAGCUAGUUGGUAAGGUAAAGGCUUACCAAGGCAACGAUCAAUAGCUGUUCUUAGAGGAAGACCAGCCACAUUGGGACUGAGACACGGCCCAGACUCCUACGGGAGGCAGCAGUGGGGAAUCUUGCACAAUGGGGGAAACCCUGAUGCAGCGAUGCCGCGUGAGUGAAGAAGGCCUUUGGGUUGUAAAACUCUUUCGUCGGGGAAGAAAAUGACUGUACCCGAAUAAGAAGGUCCGGCUAACUUCGUGCCAGCAGCCGCGGUAAUACGAAGGGACCUAGCGUAGUUCGGAAUUACUGGGCUUAAAGAGCUCGUAGGUGGUUAAAAAAGUUGAUGGUGAAAUCCCAAGGCUUAACCUUGGAACUGCCAUCAAAACUUUUUAGCUAGAGUGUGAUAGAGGUAAGUGGAAUUUCUAGUGUAGAGGUGAAAUUCGUAGAUAUUAGAAAGAACACCAAAUGCGAAGGCAACUUACUGGGUCACUACUGUCACUGAGGAGCGAAAGCAUGGGUAGCGAAGAGGAUUAGAUACCCUCGUAGUCCAUGCCGUAAACGAUGUGUGCU
Molecule: ribosomal RNA, 736 nt
Filed under: uncultured Pseudomonadota bacterium
Lineage: Bacteria; Pseudomonadati; Pseudomonadota
Description: bacterial SSU rRNA
Rfam family: Bacterial small subunit ribosomal RNA
Source: RNAcentral